AACAGCAGCCAUAUCACCCUGCAGCCCAAGACUGGUUGCCCACUGAAGCUAAGCAGGGUUGAGCCUGGUCAGUACCUGGGUGGGAGACCUCCUGGGAAAACUAGGUUGCUGCUGGAA
This 117-nucleotide ribosomal RNA is filed under the name Sinocyclocheilus anshuiensis. Lineage: Eukaryota; Metazoa; Chordata; Actinopteri; Cypriniformes; Cyprinidae. The record is from RNAcentral.